This is a long non-coding RNA of Anastrepha obliqua, 503 nucleotides long. RefSeq lists it as uncharacterized. Lineage: Eukaryota; Metazoa; Arthropoda; Insecta; Diptera; Tephritidae. The transcript is spliced from 3 exons. The record is from RefSeq and is a predicted model, not a curated record.
CUUUGUUUACAUUCAAAUCUUUAUUUGAAAGUGAAUAAGCGCGUAUAUGGUAAAUUUGUGAUUUUGUGCGUUUUAGUGUAAAUUUAAAUAAACUAAAAAGACUGUGAGGAAAAAAGGGGCUCUGACGACACAACUUUUUAUUUUAUGAAAGAUUGCGGAGAGAAUGGCUCAUAAUUUCGGAGGAGGUUCUGACAUGGUUUGGACAGCCAUUAGUGUCAGAGGUAAAAGACGAAGUACUUAUAACUAUUUUUGAUGAUAAUUUCGACGAGGAAUGGAUUUCCCAGCAUGACAACGCUACCCUUUAUGCUAGCAAAGGAAGAAAAGCAUUUUUGGCAGCGAAAAAAUACUUAUUUUAGAACGGCCUGCCUGCAGCCUUGUCCUAAACCCAACCGAAAAUGUGUGGGUAAUACUUUCUCAAUCGGUUUUCAAAAAUGUAUCAAAAUUUAUUAUAAAAACCUUAAUCUAAUCAACUAAUAAUCAAAGGAGGAUCUCCAAAACAAAUA